CCUACGGGUGGCAGCAGUGGGGAAUAUUGCACAAUGGGGGAAACCCUGAUGCAGCGACGCCGCGUGAGUGAAGAAGUAAUUCGUUAUGUAAAGCUCUAUCAGCAGGGAAGAAAAUGACGGUACCUGAGUAAGAAGCCCCUGCUAACUACGUGCCAGCAGCCGCGGUAAUACGUAGGGGGCAAGCGUUAUCCGGAUGUACUGGGUGGAAAGGGAGCGUAGGCGGCAGUGCAAGUCUGGAGUGAAAGGCGGGGGCUCAACCCCCGGACUGCUCUGGAAACUGUACGGCGGGAGUGCAGGAGAGGUAAGUGGAAUUCCUAGUGUAGCGGUGAAAUGCGUAGAUAUUAGGAGGAACACCAGUGGCGAAGGCGGCUUACUGGACUGUAACUGACGUUGAGGCUCGAAAGCGUGGGGAGCAAACAGGAUUAGAUACCCGAGUAGUC
This 440-nucleotide ribosomal RNA is filed under the name uncultured bacterium. RNAcentral's name for it is "partial 16S ribosomal RNA". It matches the Rfam family "Bacterial small subunit ribosomal RNA", at positions 338 to 795 of the family's 1533-position model. The record is from RNAcentral.